This 254-nucleotide ribosomal RNA is filed under the name uncultured bacterium. Its description in RNAcentral is "partial 16S ribosomal RNA". It matches the Rfam family "Bacterial small subunit ribosomal RNA", at positions 524 to 776 of the family's 1533-position model. The record is from RNAcentral.
UACGUAGGGUGCAAGCGUUUAAUCGGAAUUACUGGGCGUAAAGCGUGCGCAGGCGGUUAUGUAAGACAGGUGUGAAAUCCCCGGACUUAACCUGGGAACUGCAUUUGUGACUGCAUAGCUAGAGUACGGUAGAGGGGGAUGGAAUUCCGCGUGUAGCAGUGAAAUGCGUAGAUAUGCGGAGGAACACCGAUGGCGAAGGCAAUCCCCUGGACCUGUACUGACGCUCAUGCACGAAAGCGUGGGGAGCGAACAGG